Molecule: ribosomal RNA, 401 nt
Filed under: uncultured Pseudomonadota bacterium
Lineage: Bacteria; Pseudomonadati; Pseudomonadota
Description: bacterial SSU rRNA
Rfam family: Bacterial small subunit ribosomal RNA
Source: RNAcentral
CUACUCUUGACAUCCACGGAAUUCGCUAGAGAUAGCUUAGUGCCUUCGGGAACCGUGAGACAGGUGCUGCAUGGCUGUCGUCAGCUCGUGUUGUGAAAUGUUGGGUUAAGUCCCGCAACGAGCGCAACCCUUAUCCUUUGUUGCCAGCAAGUAAUGGUGGGAACUCAAAGGAGACUGCCGGUGAUAAACCGGAGGAAGGUGGGGAUGACGUCAAGUCAUCAUGGCCCUUACGAGUAGGGCUACACACGUGCUACAAUGGCAUAUACAAAGAGAAGCAAACUCGCGAGAGCAAGCGGACCUCAUAAAGUAUGUCGUAGUCCGGAUUGGAGUCUGCAACUCGACUCCAUGAAGUCGGAAUCGCUAGUAAUCGUAGAUCAGAAUGCUACGGUGAAUACGUUCCC